UCGAAUAAACUAGGUGGGUUGUUGCUGUCCCUCUCGAGGGAAUUGUGCACACCUUACCUUUUUUGUUUUUCCACCUGUGCACACAUUGUAGGUCUGGAGGGGAAGGGAGGCAACUCCCUGACGUUUCAGGUCCUAUGUCUUUACACAUACACUAUUAAAAGUAACAGAACGAUUCAAUGGGCUCUAAGCCUAUAAACUAUAUA
Molecule: unclassified non-coding RNA, 203 nt
Filed under: uncultured Basidiomycota
Lineage: Eukaryota; Fungi; Basidiomycota
Description: sequence contains ITS1
Source: RNAcentral